This 529-nucleotide long non-coding RNA is filed under the name Gallus gallus (chicken). Lineage: Eukaryota; Metazoa; Chordata; Aves; Galliformes; Phasianidae. The record is from RNAcentral.
AAUCAGGGUCUGGGUGCGCGAGCGUUUGUGCUCUGCUGGCAGCCUGUGUGGGGUGACCGCCCCGCUAGCGGGGUGUGGGUCGAGGUGCCCCGGACUGGGAGAGAAGGAGCCUCCCUCGGCCGUAGGGAUGGGGGCUGCCCUGUAAGUCAGGGAGCAUCUGUGUCCCGGAGUCCCAGGCCCUUUUCAAUGGCGGCAGUGGCCGGGGGUCCCCUGUAAGCAGGGAAGCUGACUCUUUGGCUGCUGCUUUUUGUGUGCCCAGCCCCAUUUGCCCAGUCUGCCCGCCUCUGUGAUCCCCCGCAGCACUGGCUGGAAGUCCGCCGCGUGUCAGUGAGGAGCUGCUGCAGAAGAAAGAAGAAGCGGCGUGGGGACCUGGGCUGCAAAAUCAAGAUGGGGUAUCUGUUGACUGUUUUUCUUGUAUUUCUUUGCCUUUUGGAGCCACAGUUUUGAACGGUUGUGUAAGACUUUAUCACUCUUUUUGUCAGCGUCGUCAGCUGUGAAUAAAGUUUUUUUUCCAUGUUGUUUUUCCUGU